Sinocyclocheilus anshuiensis is the source of this 377-nucleotide long non-coding RNA. RefSeq lists it as uncharacterized. The transcript has 4 exons. The record is from RefSeq and is a predicted model, not a curated record. Lineage: Eukaryota; Metazoa; Chordata; Actinopteri; Cypriniformes; Cyprinidae.
UUCAGGUGCACUGGUUGUAAAAAAACAUGCUACUGUUCUGUAGCUUGUCAGACUCAGGAUUGGAAAGCUCAUCGACAUGUCUGCAAACCUAGUGUCCCAGAAGUUGCCAGUGAUAAAACUAAGGAAUCCACAGCUAUGCCAAGUGGAAAUGGACUUGGUGGCCUUCAAACUAAGGAAAUCUGUGUUGAUGUACAGCCAAACAGAAUGUAUCGACGUGAUUUACGCAAGAAUGUUGUUUCUAAAGGAUCUGAGAUACAGGGUACAGUGAUUGACCUGAGGAACCCUGGGGAAUUCUCCAUUCACCUGCAGUCAGUGGAGAUGAUGGAGUCCCUGAAAAACAUCACCACAGUGCUCCAGAAGGCCUAUAGCACUUCAUU